GCCUUCGUUUUGUAAUGGUUAGCACACUCGGCACGUAUCCGAGAGGCCUAGGUUCGAGUCCCGGCGAGGGCA
RNAcentral lists this transfer RNA (72 nucleotides) under Stegodyphus mimosarum. It matches the Rfam family "tRNA". From Rfam's summary of the family: Transfer RNA (tRNA) molecules are approximately 80 nucleotides in length. Their secondary structure includes four short double-helical elements and three loops (D, anti-codon, and T loops). Lineage: Eukaryota; Metazoa; Arthropoda; Arachnida; Araneae; Eresidae. The record is from Rfam by way of RNAcentral.